RNAcentral lists this ribosomal RNA (253 nucleotides) under uncultured bacterium. RNAcentral describes it as "partial 16S ribosomal RNA". It matches the Rfam family "Bacterial small subunit ribosomal RNA", at positions 524 to 776 of the family's 1533-position model. The record is from RNAcentral.
UACGAAGGGUGCAAGCGUUACUCGGAAUUACUGGGCGUAAAGCGUGCGUAGGUGGUUCGUUAAGUCUGAUGUGAAAGCCCUGGGCUCAACCUGGGAAUGGCAUUGGAAACUGGCGACCUAGAGUGCGGUAGAGGGUAGUGGAAUUCCCGGUGUAGCAGUGAAAUGCGUAGAGAUCGGGAGGAACACCAGUGGCGAAGGCGACUACCUGGCCUGUUCUUGACGCUGAGGCGCGAAAGCCAGGGGAGCAAACGGG